RNAcentral lists this ribosomal RNA (648 nucleotides) under Escherichia coli. Its description in RNAcentral is "partial 23S ribosomal RNA". It matches the Rfam family "Bacterial large subunit ribosomal RNA", at positions 296 to 954 of the family's 2925-position model. The record is from RNAcentral. Lineage: Bacteria; Pseudomonadati; Pseudomonadota; Gammaproteobacteria; Enterobacterales; Enterobacteriaceae.
AGCCCAGAGCCUGAAUCAGUGUGUGUGUUAGUGGAAGCGUCUGGAAAGGCGCGCGAUACAGGGUGACAGCCCCGUACACAAAAAUGCACAUGCUGUGAGCUCGAUGAGUAGGGCGGGACACGUGGUAUCCUGUCUGAAUAUGGGGGGACCAUCCUCCAAGGCUAAAUACUCCUGACUGACCGAUAGUGAACCAGUACCGUGAGGGAAAGGCGAAAAGAACCCCGGCGAGGGGAGUGAAAAAGAACCUGAAACCGUGUACGUACAAGCAGUGGGAGCACGCUUAGGCGUGUGACUGCGUACCUUUUGUAUAAUGGGUCAGCGACUUAUAUUCUGUAGCAAGGUUAACCGAAUAGGGGAGCCGAAGGGAAACCGAGUCUUAACUGGGCGUUAAGUUGCAGGGUAUAGACCCGAAACCCGGUGAUCUAGCCAUGGGCAGGUUGAAGGUUGGGUAACACUAACUGGAGGACCGAACCGACUAAUGUUGAAAAAUUAGCGGAUGACUUGUGGCUGGGGGUGAAAGGCCAAUCAAACCGGGAGAUAGCUGGUUCUCCCCGAAAGCUAUUUAGGUAGCGCCUCGUGAAUUCAUCUCCGGGGGUAGAGCACUGUUUCGGCAAGGGGGUCAUCCCGACUUACCAACCCGAUGCAAAC